Molecule: long non-coding RNA, 202 nt
Organism: Notothenia coriiceps (black rockcod)
Lineage: Eukaryota; Metazoa; Chordata; Actinopteri; Perciformes; Nototheniidae
Exons: 3
Source: RefSeq, a predicted model, not a curated record
UGGGUUUAACAGAUGAAGUCUGCUGAUCAGGUGCAGAGAUCAAACUAAACGUGUUUCAUCUGAAUUGGACAGGAAUGGCCCAUCAGUGGAGGGAACUGGGGGCAAGGCACUCAGAGCUACCCAGAGAUCAUCAUCACCGGACAUGCUGACGGGUCGAUCAAAUUUUGGGAUGCUUCUGCACUGAUGCUGCAGGCGUUGUACC